Molecule: ribosomal RNA, 428 nt
Filed under: uncultured bacterium
Lineage: Bacteria
Description: bacterial SSU rRNA
Rfam family: Bacterial small subunit ribosomal RNA
Source: RNAcentral
GAUGAACGCUGGCGGCGCGCCUAACACAUGCAAGUCGAACGGCACCUAUCUUCGGAUAGAAGCGAGUGGCGAACGGCUGAGUAACACGUGGAGAACCUGCCCCCUCCCCCGGGAUAGCCGCCCGAAAGGACGGGUAAUACCGGAUACCCCCGGGCGCCGCAUGGCGCCCGGGCUAAAGCCCCGACGGGAGGGGAUGGCUCCGCGGCCCAUCAGGUAGACGGCGGGGUGACGGCCCACCGUGCCGACAACGGGUAGCCGGGUUGAGAGACCGACCGGCCAGAUUGGGACUGAGACACGGCCCAGACUCCUACGGGAGGCAGCAGUGGGGAAUCUUGCGCAAUGGGGGGAACCCUGACGCAGCGACGCCGCGUGCGGGACGGAGGCCUUCGGGUCGUAAACCGCUUUCAGCAGGGAAGAGUCAAGACUGU